CGCUGGCGGCGUGCCUAAUACAUGCAAGUCGAACGAAACUUUUUUACACCGAAUGCUUGCACUCACCGUAAGAAGUUGAGUGGCGGACGGGUGAGUAACACGUGGGUAACCUGCCUAAAAGAAGGGGAUAACACUUGGAAACAGGUGCUAAUACCGUAUAUCUCUAAGGAUCGCAUGAUCCUUAGACGAAAGAUGGUUCUGCUAUCGCUUUUAGAUGGACCCGCGGCGUAUUAACUAGUUGGUGGGGUAACGGCCUACCAAGGUGAUGAUACGUAGCCGAACUGAGAGGUUGAUCGGCCACAUUGGGACUGAGACACGGCCCAAACUCCUACGGGAGGCAGCAGUAGGGAAUCUUCCACAAUGGACGCAAGUCUGAUGGAGCAACGCCGCGUGAGUGAAGAAGGUCUUCGGAUCGUAAAACUCUGUUGUUAGAGAAGAACACGAGUGAGAGUAACUGUUCAUUCGAUGACGGUAUCUAACCAGCAAGUCACGGCUAACUACGUGCCAGCAGCCGCGGUAAUACGUAGGUGGCAAGCGUUGUCCGGAUUUAUUGGGCGUAAAGGGAACGCAGGCGGUCUUUUAAGUCUGAUGUGAAAGCCUUCGGCUUAACCGGAGUAGUGCAUUGGAGACUGGAAGACUUGAGUGCAGAAGAGGAGAGUGGAACUCCAUGUGUAGCGGUGAAAUGCGUAGAUAUAUGGAAGAACACCAGUGGCGAAAGCGGCUCUCUGGUCUGUAACUGAC
Molecule: ribosomal RNA, 741 nt
Filed under: uncultured Bacilli bacterium
Lineage: Bacteria; Bacillati; Bacillota; Bacilli
Description: bacterial SSU rRNA
Rfam family: Bacterial small subunit ribosomal RNA
Source: RNAcentral